RNAcentral lists this long non-coding RNA (1086 nucleotides) under Anas platyrhynchos platyrhynchos (common mallard). RNAcentral's name for it is "lncRNA (ENSAPLG00000016920.1)". Lineage: Eukaryota; Metazoa; Chordata; Aves; Anseriformes; Anatidae. The record is from RNAcentral.
UAUUUUUUUAAAUUUUUAAUUAAUUUUUUAAUUUUUAUUAAUUUUUGUAUUUUUUCCCGUUUUUUUCCGUUUUUAACGUUUCCGCCCGGUUUCCGCGCUCCGUUCCGGCGCCCCGUGCUCGGUUUCACCCCGUUGCCCCCUCCCCUCCCCCCCCCCCCCCUUUUCCCCCCGGGGUCACGGUCGGGGUCACGGGGUCACGGCCCGGUCACGGCCCCGCCGCUCCCCCCGCCCCCCCCCGUCCCCCCAUCCCCCCCGCGCGGGCCCGCUCCCGCCGCCUCCCGGCUGCAUGCUCGGAGCAGGGAGGUGACACGGAAAGGCUGCGGCACUCCCAGCCCUGCACCCCCCAGACACAGCCCCGGGGGGCUCUUUGUGCCUCUCCUUGUGCCCCCCACCCCCGCGGCCCCCUCCCUCGGUGCAGCCUUGCCCGUGCUGCUGGCACAGCCCCCACCCGGGGGGCACGGUGCCAGGGUCCCUGCGCCGCCUGCUGUCAUCACCUGCGGCUCUCCUGGCAGCGCUGCCGGUCCCGUGGCCGCGGUGCCAAGGGCAGGCUGCCCGUUAUCUCCUUGCCCGCUUGCCCCAGUGCUCCCAGUGCUGCCUACUGGGGGACAACGGGGACCCUCACGGCAGGACCCAGUGACAAAAGGUGGCGCUUACAGCCCCAGGCUGACUCACGGAGCUGUCGGCGUGGCUGCCUGGGUGUGUGCAGGAUGCACAAUUAGGGAUCGCACCCCUAAUUUCAGUGCAGGAAUUUGGGCUCUGCCUGGUGCCAGCACUCGGGGUGGGGGCCCCAUCCCUGUCACCCCCGUGGGCAGGGUGCGGUGCCGCGUCCCGGUGCCCCCCCAGAGCUGCCCGGGGGCUGCUCAGGCUCUGGGUCCAGCAGCAAUUUGGGCUCCCCACGAUGAUCCUGUGGGGCUGUGCCGGAUUCACCCCAAACCGUGCGCCCCCGGGGGGGUUUCUGUGAGUUCAGGUGGGGACACCCCCACCCACGGCCCCGCACCCCCAGCCCCGCUGCGUGCUGCACGCCGAGGAGCGUUGCUCGCCAAGCUGUUCCUGCCCAACAAUGGCGAGUUAUUAAAUCCCCUGUAA